GGUGGGAUACCCAAGUGGUUAAAGGGAGCAGACUGUAAAUCUGUCGUCAUAGACUUCGAAGGUUCGAAUCCUUCUCCCACCA
This 82-nucleotide transfer RNA is filed under the name Enterobacteriaceae endosymbiont of Donacia cincticornis. Its description in RNAcentral is "tRNA-Tyr". It matches the Rfam family "tRNA". Rfam says of the family: Transfer RNA (tRNA) molecules are approximately 80 nucleotides in length. Their secondary structure includes four short double-helical elements and three loops (D, anti-codon, and T loops). Further hydrogen bonds mediate the characteristic L-shaped molecular structure. tRNAs have two regions of fundamental functional importance: the anti-codon, which is responsible for specific mRNA codon recognition, and the 3' end, to which the tRNAs corresponding amino acid is attached (by aminoacyl-tRNA synthetases). tRNAs cope with the degeneracy of the genetic code in two manners: having more than one tRNA (with a specific anti-codon) for a particular amino acid; and 'wobble' base-pairing, i.e. permitting non-standard base-pairing at the 3rd anti-codon position. The record is from RNAcentral. Lineage: Bacteria; Pseudomonadati; Pseudomonadota; Gammaproteobacteria; Enterobacterales; Enterobacteriaceae.